Long non-coding RNA from Tripterygium wilfordii, 2185 nucleotides. RefSeq lists it as uncharacterized. Lineage: Eukaryota; Viridiplantae; Streptophyta; Magnoliopsida; Celastrales; Celastraceae. The transcript is spliced from 2 exons. The record is from RefSeq and is a predicted model, not a curated record.
ACGGUGGAAGAGAGGUCUCAAGCUUUCUUCAAAGAUUGGCUUUAUUUAUAUGUAAUGCGUGGUUGCUUGAUAGGUUUGGUUGAUAGUUGAUACUAUGUUAGGCAGCAUAGUUUUUUGUUGAGUUUUGGUGUUCUAGCUUUUAUGUAGACAAUCACCGAUGGGGGGCGGGGGGGAAGUUCACUGCUCUCUUUAUAUGUGAGUACUUCAAUACUUUGUCAACAUUAAGAUGGUUUGAAGAAGCAUGUAUGAUAAAGUCGUGUGAAUGUUUGUUGCAAUAAAAACACUAAAAUCUUGAUUGAAGUUUUUUUCUUCCAUUUGUUUAUUAGUUGAUGGUUAUAUGGCGAUUUGAUGCUAUGUUUUAUUGACAGAAGGUACUUGAUGUCGGUAAGACGAAGAUAUAAGAGUUACCUGUGAUAUUUCUUAGCACAGCAAAUGUACUGUGAAAGAAUGUUAGAAAACAUCAGGUGUCUAUGUUUUAAACUUGAUAACUGAUAGAGAAAAUAGGCUACAAGCUAAUGUUUUAUUGCUGUCAAGUUACUUGCUAGGUCCUUGUGUAGUAGAAAAUACUGACCACCUUAGAAGUCUAGUUAGUCUACUAGAGACUUCUAUUCUAACUUGACUUCUAUCUUAUUACAUCUUCAAAACUUAAAACCUAUCAUAUGAUUUUGUUCAUGCAAAACUAACUCAUACAAAAAAAAUACUACUUGCACACUAACACUAGUAGCGAAAACAUAAAUUCAUAAUUAAGUAAAUUUUCUGUUGCACCUUUCUAGAAGUUUCCUCGUCUUCUGCACCUUCCAGCAUCUUCCUGAUACUUAAAAACUAGUCAUAGAUUACUUCUUAACACCCCUUAAUAUGCUAUUUGAGCGUCAUCUCUGAACUACUUCAAUUUUUUCUAAAGCUAUUGCUUUUUUCAUCAAAUUGAAGCUCAAUCUCUUAUGAAAUGAUGUCUUAAUUCAAUAUGCUUUAAUCCUGCUAUGAAAAACAGAAUUCUUGGUCAUUGCAAUAGCUGACAUGCUAUCACAAUAAGUCAUGGUAGGCUUGCAAUCUCUUUGUUGCAUAUCUUCUAAUAUUCUUCUUAACCGAACUGCUUCACAAGCUGCAUCUGUGGCAUCAAUGUACUCUGCUUCUGUUGAAGACAAUGCGACAGAUUUUUGCUUCUUGGAAGAACAAACAACAGGCUUGGUUUCUAAGCAAAAUACAUAACCAUAUGUGCUCUUUCAAAUUUCUAUCAUUAACCAAUCUUUGUCAGUGAAUCCAACAAGCUUGUUUUCUUUUUCCUUCACAUACUUCAAUCUAAAUAUUCUAGUUGUAGUUACCUCAAUAUUUUUUUGGCAGCAAGAGAACGGACCUUUCUAGGUUUUGACAUGAACCUUGUGUUUAAAGUCACUGCAUAUAGAAUAUCUUGCCUUGUAUCAGGCAAAUAGAUAAGUGAACCAACUAGACUUCUGUAUAUAGCUGUGUCAAUUGCUACUGCACCAUCAUCUUGUUGCAACUUUUCAUUUAAUGUCACUCUUGUUGAAACAGGUUUACACUUAUCCUUUUAAAAUCUUCUAAGCGCUCCAUCCAAAUAUUUCUCUUGCGAAAUCUUUAUCUCUCCUUUAGCUUGUUGCACUUGAAUUCCAAGAACAUUCAAUCAACUUCUUACUCGUUCCUGUGUAUAUGAGAUCAUCUGCAUAGAGACAAAUUAGCAAGAAAUCUUCAUUUCUUCAUGCUUGACAUAUAGAGAAGCUUCACUAGCACUUUUCUGAACCCUAAAUUUUGGAAAUAUAUAUCAAUCUUGCUCUUCCAAGUCCUUGGCGCUUGCUUCGGACCAUACAAUGCAUUCUUUAUCCUGUAUACUUUAUAUUCAUGUCCUUUUCUAACAUAGCAUUUAAGUUGUUCCACAUACACCUCUUCUAAUAGCUUGCCAUUGAGAAAUUCAUGUUUGACAUCAAACUGUAAACAUGAAGUUCAUAUUGAGCAGCCAAUGCUAAGAAGUAAUAUGUGAUUAGUUUUAAGUAUUGAGAAGAUGCUUGGACGGUGCUGAAGACAAGGAAACUUUUAGGGAUGUGCAACAUAUAUUUUAUUUAGUUAUGAAGUUUAUGUUUUGUCUACUAGGAUUAUUGUGCAAGUUUUAUUUGUUUUGUAUGGAUUGAUUUUGCAUGAACAAACCAAUCAUAUUAUAGAUUUUAAAUUUUGAUGA